Molecule: ribosomal RNA, 491 nt
Filed under: uncultured bacterium
Lineage: Bacteria
Description: partial 16S ribosomal RNA
Rfam family: Bacterial small subunit ribosomal RNA
Source: RNAcentral
AGUGAACGCUGGCGGUAGGCCUAACACAUGCAAGUCGAACGGCAGCACAGUAAGAGCUUGCUCUUACGGGUGGCGAGUGGCGGACGGGUGAGGAAUACAUCGGAAUCUACUUUUUCGUGGGGGAUAACGUAGGGAAACUUACGCUAAUACCGCAUACGACCUACGGGUGAAAGCAGGGGAUCUUCGGACCUUGCGCGAUUGAAUGAGCCGAUGUCGGAUUAGCUAGUUGGCGGGGUAAAGGCCCACCAAGGCGACGAUCCGUAGCUGGUCUGAGAGGAUGAUCAGCCACACUGGAACUGAGACACGGUCCAGACACAUACGGGAGGCAGCAGGGGGGAAUAUUGGACAAGGGGCGCAAGCCUGAUCCAGCCAUACCGCGGGGGUGAAGAAGGCCUUCGGGUUGUAAAGCCCUUUUGUUGGGAAAGAAAAGCAGCAGGUUAAUACCCCGCUGUUCUGACGGUACCCAAAGAAUAAGCACCGGCUAACUUCGU